RNAcentral lists this ribosomal RNA (375 nucleotides) under uncultured bacterium. RNAcentral describes it as "bacterial SSU rRNA". It matches the Rfam family "Bacterial small subunit ribosomal RNA", at positions 521 to 895 of the family's 1533-position model. The record is from RNAcentral.
UAAUACGAAGGGGGCUAGCGUUGUUCGGAAUUACUGGGCGUAAAGCGCACGUAGGCGGAUUGUUAAGUCAGAGGUGAAAUCCCGGAGCUCAACUUCGGAACUGCCUUUGAUACUGGCAAUCUAGAGUUCGGAAGAGGUUAGUGGAAUUCCCAGUGUAGAGGUGAAAUUCGUAGAUAUUGGGAAGAACACCAGUGGCGAAGGCGACUGACUGGACAAGUAUUGACGCUGAGGUACGAAAGCGUGGGGAGCAAACAGGAUUAGAUACCCUGGUAGUCCACGCCGUAAACGAUGAUAACUAGCUGUCCGGGCACUUGGUGCCUGGGUGGCGCAGCUAACGCAUUAAGUUAUCCGCCUGGGGAGUACGGUCGCAAGAUU